GAUGAACGCUAGCUACAGGCUUAACACAUGCAAGUCGAGGGGCAGCAUGGUCUUAGCUUGCUAAGGCCGAUGGCGACCGGCGCACGGGUGAGUAACACGUAUCCAACCUGCCGUCUACUCUUGGACAGCCUUCUGAAAGGAAGAUUAAUACAAGAUGGCAUCAUGAGUACGCAUGUUCACAUGAUUAAAGGUAUUCCGGUAGACGAUGGGGAUGCGUUCCAUUAGAUAGUAGGCGGGGUAACGGCCCACCUAGUCUUCGAUGGAUAGGGGUUCUGAGAGGAAGGUCCCCCACAUUGGAACUGAGACACGGUCCAAACUCCUACGGGAGGCAGCAGUGAGGAAUAUUGGUCAAUGGGCGCAGGCCUGAACCAGCCAAGUAGCGUGAAGGAUGACUGCCCUAUGGGUUGUAAACUUCUUUUAUAAAGGAAUAAAGUCGGGUAUGUAUACCCGUUUGCAUGUACUUUAUGAAUAAGGAUCGGCUAACUCCGUG
Molecule: ribosomal RNA, 490 nt
Filed under: uncultured bacterium
Lineage: Bacteria
Description: partial 16S ribosomal RNA
Rfam family: Bacterial small subunit ribosomal RNA
Source: RNAcentral